Molecule: ribosomal RNA, 559 nt
Filed under: uncultured Pseudomonadota bacterium
Lineage: Bacteria; Pseudomonadati; Pseudomonadota
Description: bacterial SSU rRNA
Rfam family: Bacterial small subunit ribosomal RNA
Source: RNAcentral
GGCGGACGGGUGAGUAAUGCAUAGGAACUUGCCAUUAAGAGGGGGAUAACCCGGGGAAACUCGGGCUAAUACCGCAUAAUCUCUAAGGAGCAAAGGAAGGGAUCUGUAAAGACCUUCCACUUAAUGAGAGGCCUAUGUUGGAUUAGCUAGUUGGUAGAGUAAAAGCCUACCAAGGCGACGAUCCAUAGCUGGUCUGAGAGGAUGGUCAGCCACACUGGAACUGAGACACGGUCCAGACUCCUACGGGAGGCAGCAGUGGGGAAUCUUGGACAAUGGGGGAAACCCUGAUCCAGCAAUGCCGUGUGUGUGAAGAAGGCCUAAGGGUUGUAAAGCACUUUUGGUAAGGAGGAGAAGCGUUAAACGAAUAAUUUAACGUGGAGACGUUACUUACAGAAUAAGCACCGGCUAACUCUGUGCCAGCAGCCGCGGUAAUACAGAGGGUGCAAGCGUUAAUCGGAAUGAUUGGGCGUAAAGCGCGUGUAGGCGGUAAGAAAAGUUGGGUGUGAAAUCUCCGGGCUUAACCUGGAAACUGCAUUCAAAACUGGCUUACUAGAGUUCA